This 394-nucleotide ribosomal RNA is filed under the name Paralamyctes subicolus. RNAcentral's name for it is "eukaryotic LSU rRNA". It matches the Rfam family "Eukaryotic large subunit ribosomal RNA", at positions 686 to 946 of the family's 3401-position model. The record is from RNAcentral. Lineage: Eukaryota; Metazoa; Arthropoda; Chilopoda; Lithobiomorpha; Henicopidae.
ACGAGUCAAUGGGGAUCUCUCGAGACCCACGGGCGCAAUGAAAGUGAAAAGGUUCGGGUUUGUUGGGAGGGAAACUUGUUUCCCACUUUGACGCCCGAACCGGAGGCGGGAUCCGACGAACCGGCAUUGCUUUAACUUUUCCCUGCGUUCGUAAAAAAAGCGUACGGGGACUGUUUUAGUUUCAAAAUUUUGCCGGCGGCGCACCGCCGGCCCGUCGCAAACGCAACGCCGUUGCGGCGGAGCAAGAGCGUACACGUUGGGACCCGAAAGAUGGUGAUCUAUGCCCGGGCAGGACGAAGCCAGAGGAAACUCUGGUGGAGGUCCGUAGCGAUUCUGACGUGCAAAUCGAUCGUCGGACCUGGGUAUAGGGGCGAAAGACUAAUCGAACCGUCUA